CCUACGGGUGGCAGCAGUGAGGAAUAUUGGUCAAUGGGAGAGAUCCUGAACCAGCCAAGCCGCGUGAGGGAAGACGGCCCUAUGGGUUGUAAACCUCAUUUGUCGGAGAGCAAAACCCGGGACGUGUCCCGGACUGCGUGUCUCCGUAGAAAAAGCAUCGGUUAACUCGGUGCCAGCAGCCGCGGUAAUACGGAGGAUGCGGGCGUUAGCCGGAUUUAUUGGGUUUAAAGGGUGCGUAGGCGGUCCGUUAAGUCCGCGGGAAAAGUGCGGGGCUCAACCCCGUCGAGCGGUUGAAACUGGCAGACUUGAGUUGGCGAGAGGUACGCGGAAUGCGCGGUGUAGCGGUGAAAUGCAUAGAUAUCGCGCAGAACACCGAUUGCGAAGGCAGCGUACCGGCGCCAGACUGACGCUGAGGCACGAAAGCGUGGGGAUCGAACAGGAUUAGAUACCCCUGUAGUC
Molecule: ribosomal RNA, 459 nt
Filed under: uncultured bacterium
Lineage: Bacteria
Description: partial 16S ribosomal RNA
Rfam family: Bacterial small subunit ribosomal RNA
Source: RNAcentral